UACGAAGGGGGCUAGCGUUGCUCGGAAUUACUGGGCGUAAAACGCACGUAGGCGGAUUGUUAAGUCGGGGGUGAAAUCCUGGAGCUCAACUCCAGAACUGCCUUCGAAACUGGCGAUCUUGAGUUCGGGAGAGGUGAGUGGAACUGCGAGUGUAGAGGUGAAAUUCGUAGAUAUUCGCAAGAACACCAGUGGCGAAGGCGGCUCACUGGCCCGAUACUGACGCUGAGGUGCGAAAGCGUGGGGAGCAAACAGG
RNAcentral lists this ribosomal RNA (253 nucleotides) under uncultured bacterium. RNAcentral describes it as "partial 16S ribosomal RNA". It matches the Rfam family "Bacterial small subunit ribosomal RNA", at positions 524 to 776 of the family's 1533-position model. The record is from RNAcentral.